Molecule: ribosomal RNA, 253 nt
Filed under: uncultured bacterium
Lineage: Bacteria
Description: partial 16S ribosomal RNA
Rfam family: Bacterial small subunit ribosomal RNA
Source: RNAcentral
GACGAACCGUCCUAACGUUGUUCGGAAUCACUGGGCUUAAAGGGCGCGUAGGCGGGUUCCCAAGUCGGUGGUGAAAUCUUUCGGCCCAACCGGAAAACAGCCGCCGAUACUGGGAGUCUUGAGGGAGGUAGGGGUCGAUGGAACUUCCGGUGGAGCGGUGAAAUGCGUAGAUAUCAGGAGGAACACCGGUGGCGAAGGCGGCUCUCUGGACGGUGACUGACGCUGAGACGCGAAAGCGUGGGGAGCAAACAGG